GAGAGCCAGAGGCUGAACCGGACACUUGAGUCUAAAAGGCAGGAAAAUGAGAAGUUAACAACAGAAUGCCGGGAGCUGCGUCGGAACCUGGAGUCAAAGGAGAAUGAGAUCAAGCAGCUGAAAUCAG
Pelodiscus sinensis (Chinese soft-shelled turtle) is the source of this 127-nucleotide non-coding RNA. Lineage: Eukaryota; Metazoa; Chordata; Testudines; Trionychidae. The record is from RefSeq and is a predicted model, not a curated record.